RNAcentral lists this ribosomal RNA (915 nucleotides) under uncultured archaeon. RNAcentral's name for it is "bacterial SSU rRNA". It matches the Rfam family "Archaeal small subunit ribosomal RNA", at positions 1 to 921 of the family's 1478-position model. The record is from RNAcentral.
UUCCGGUUGAUCCUGCCGGAAGUUACUGCUAUCGAGGUUCGACUAAGCCAUGCGAGUCGAAUGUAGCAAUACAUGGCGAACUGCUCAGUAACACGUGGACAACCUGCCCUUAGGUUGGGUAUAAACCCGGGAAACUGGGUAUAAUACCCGAUAGGUCUCGAUUGCUGGAAUGCAUCGAGAUUUAAAGCUCCGGCGCCUAAGGAUGGGUCUGCGGCCUAUCAGGUAGUAGUGGGUGUAGCGUACCUACUAGCCUACGACGGGUACGGGUUGUGAGAGCAAGAGCCCGGAGAUGGAUUCUGAGACACGAAUCCAGGCCCUACGGGGUGCAGCAGGCGCGAAAACUUUACAAUGCUGGCAACAGCGAUAAGGGAACCUCGAGUGCCAGGUUACAAAUCUGGCUGUCGAGAUGCCUAAAAAGCAUUUCAUAGCAAGGGCCGGGCAAGACCGGUGCCAGCCGCCGCGGUAACACCGGCGGCUCGAGUGGUAACCGUUAUUAUUGGGUCUAAAGGGUCUGUAGCCGGCCGGAUAAGUCUCUUGAGAAAUCUGGCAGCUUAACUGUCAGGCUUUCAGGAGAUAGUGUCUGGCUCGAGGCCGGGAGAGGUGAGAGGUACUUCAGGGGUAGGGGUGAAAUCUUGUAAUCCUUGAAGGACCACCAGUGGCGAAGGCGUCUCACCAGAACGGACCUGACGGCAAGGGACGAAAGCUAGGGGCACGAACCGGAUUAGAUACCCGGGUAGUCCUAGCCGUAAACGAUACUCGCUAGGUGUCGGCCACGGUGCGACCGUUGUCGGUGCCGUAGGGAAGCCGUGAAGCGAGCCACCUGGGAAGUACGGCCGCAAGGCUGAAACUUAAAGGAAUUGGCGGGGGAGCACCACAACGGGUGGAGCUUGCGGUUUAAUUGGGAGUCAACGCCGG